UUUUUAAAAAAUAGAAUUUUUUAGACUUUUUUUUUACUUAAAUAGUCAAUUAAAUUCUCAUAAAAUAAUAUUAAAAAAAUCAAUUAAGCCUUACACCUUAUCAUUUUUUCAUGUCAAUUGCUAAAUCAGUACUUAAUGGCCCAUCAGGGGCUUCAAUGGAGAAAAUGACGUCAAUGGGCUUAAUUAUGUAUUCAAAACCAUUAUUCAAAUGGCUCAAUUGGAUGCACUUUUAGAUGAGAGACUUAAUUGAUUUUUAAAUUAUUUUUAGAGAACUUAUUUGACAUUUUAACUUGGAUCUUGUAAUGUGUAAAUUUUUAUUUAUUAUAAAAGAUAAAAAUAUUCUCAUAAUAAUAUAAUUUAUUUUAGAAAAAAAAUUUUUUAAUAAUUUCUUAAAUGAGUUGAGAUGAGCGAUACAAACUCAAUUUAAAUAAAUUAUUAUAACAAAGAUAUACAUUUCUUUAUCUUAUUGGUGGCACACCAAAGGUAUAGUUAGACCAUAUAGAAUUUGCCAAGCACACUAAAAUAUGUUGAAAUGAAGGUGUUAAAGUUAAAUGGACCAUAGGAGGUUGGUUUAUAAUGAUGUGCCAUCAAACAGACAUUUUGUCAACCCAUUGAGGGGUUGACUUACCUGUUCUUAAAAAAUAGAUUUUUUAAAACCUACCAACAUUCCAACAUUAGCAAAGUUGACUUCACCUACACCCCACGUGACCAUAUAUAUUGAAAGUCGAAACGAAAAGAGGCAAAAGAGGCCUAUCAUUAGCCAAGCCCUCUCUUAUAUCAACUAAACUGGUGCCAACAUUAUAUAUAACGUUUACACCAUAUUUAAUUAUUUUGUUCUAAGUCAUUUUUAUCUAAACUUUUCAGGUCAUACAUGUUGUCGAAACUUUUUUUAUCGGUCGACUUUUUAUCUAAAAAAUGAAAAUGGCGCAACUUUGACUUCUUAUUAAUAAAAAAAUUAUUAAAGUAACCCUAGCCAAGAAUGCUUUGCUUAGUAUCCUAGAGAGAACAAUUUUUUCUGUGGCUUAGGAUGGAGGAGAGUGGUGGCGCAGAGGGUUUUGAAGGAGACAAGAUCUCCCUAUUGGUAGAGGAACUUGUCCAAUUAUCAGUAAAAAGCUCGGUGUGGUACCAAGCGAAAAACCAACCCUAUUAUGCACAAUAUGGACGAAGAAAUCUUAUAAUCCAGAUAGCUUCAGGGCACAAAUCAAAAGUAUUUGGAAGACAAGGAAGAAAUUCGAGAUUAAAUUGGCAGGACAAAAUCUUUUUUUGAUAAUGUUUAAGAGUGAAGAAGAUCUAGAAUUAGUUAUGGCGGGGCAACCAUAGCUGUUUCGGAAAAAUUUAGUAAUUUUUGAUAGGUUGACUAGAUCGAUGGAAAGAAGUCAAAUCUGACUUAAUUGAUCACUGUUUUGGAUUAAGAUUGGACCAUGUUCACCAGAAUUUGAUAAAAAAAGAUCUGAUGCAUGCUAUUGGCGUUACUUUUGGAGGUGUUUUGAGAUCUGAAAUUAAUGGAGAAUUCUGUCGGCUAAGAAUCAAAUUAGAUGUGCAAAAACCCUUGCGAAGGGGUAUUUUUGUCUCAACAGAAAAUCAAAGUAAGUCUUGGAUUUCUUUUAAAAUAUGAAAAUUUACCUACAUUCUGUUUUGGUUGUGGAAAGACGGGGCAUGGGCUCAUAGACUACCAAGAGUUUACACCUGUAGAAAGAAACAAAGUCAGAAUUGAUCCUCCUUUUUCUUUAGCUUUAAAAGCAGAAUUAAAUUUAGUUGGAAGAGAGAGUCUAAUGUUUAAAGCCAACUCAAAGAAGAUGCAGCCUCAAUGUUCAUACGUAGGUAAUACUGAGAAUUUUACUGAAUUAAAUCUAGAAGUUGAUGGAAAAAGUGUUAUAUCCCAAGCUAAUUCACAAUGUACAGAAAAAGAGAUAGCGUUAAAGCUGUAGGAGGAUAAAAUGGAUAUAGAAGAUAAGGCUAUCGGGGCAUCUAAUAAUUCUACAAGAACUUUGAAUCCAGCCAAAAAAUUGAGUUGGAAGUGAAUCAAGGUAGAAAGAAGGGUGGAUUCUUACAACGAUGAAAGUAGACUAAGAAAAAGAAAAUCAGAAGAGUGUGCUUUUGAAAAAGAUGAUUCAAAAAUCUCUUGUGAAGAUGAAACAAAGAGAAUGAAGUACAAGGGCAAAUAAUUUCAAACAGGAGAAUAUACAAUUUUGUCGGCUGAAUAUUUCCCACAGGAAUAUGAUUUUCACCAAUAUAGAUCGGCGGGUGCCAAAAGGCAUACUGACCGGGCACAAUGAAAACUAUAUGUUGAAAUGUCCGUGGAUUGGGGAGUCUACAAGCAACACGAAGGCUUUGGUAUUUGCUGAAGCAAGAUAAGCCCCAAAUGGUCUUCUUUAUGGAGACUAAAAUUGAUGAAAAGCGCAUGGAAAAAAUUAGAAGGAGAUGUGGUUUCGAGAAUGGAACUAAUGUAGGAACAGAAGGGUCUAGAGGUGGAAUUUGUAUGGCGUGGAAAACAGGAACUAAUGUAACUCUUAAAAAUUUCUCAAGAAGCCAUAUUGAUGUAAUGGUAAAGGAGGAAAAUAUCAAUGAAGAGUGACGGUUUACAGGAUUUUAUGGAUCACCUUAUGUUCAUGAUAAGAAUGCCUCGUGGAAUUUAUUAAAGCAAUUGGGUAAAGAUCAAAAUCACCCAUGACUGGUAUGUGGUGAUUUUAACGAAAUAAUGUAUUCUUAUGAGAAAAACAAUGGUCUAUCGGGGGAAGAAAAAAGAAUGGAAGCUUUUCGCGAAGUUCUAAAUGAAUGUCAGUUAAUGGACGUGGGUUACAUGGGGGUUUGGUUCAUAUGGGAGAGAGGAAACUUACCGGGAACAAAUAUUAAAGAAAGGCUGGAUAGAGGCAUGACGAAUGAGAAGUGGAUGCAACUUUUUCCAAGUGGAACUAUUCAUCAUUUUACACACUCAAUUUCAGAUCAUUGCCCCUUACUUAUAAAUACUAAUAAGGGAAAAAUCAAUAAAGGAAUCUCAAGUUUCAAAUUCGAGGCAUGGUGGACUUUGGAGGAAUCCAUUGAACAAGAGAUUAAAAAAGCGUGGGAGUUUUCAGAUGGAUCUAUAUGCGAAAAACGAGAGGCUACAAUUCAGAUUGGUGAAUUGGGCGAGCGUAAUAAAGAGGGACUGAGAUGGUUUAAAGAAUAGGCUCACAAAGGAACUUGAAGAACUACUUGAAAGCGAUAGAGAUGAUGCCACAAUGGCAAAGCUGAUUGAUAUUAGAAUUCGACUCAAAAUGGAAAUUGAAAAAGACGAAAUGUACUGGGAACAAAGGGCACGAGCUAAUUGGCUCCAAUUAGAGGAUAAGAACUCAGUAUUUUUUCACAAGUAUGCCUUAGUACGUAAACGAAUUAAUACUAUUACUACGCUGGAAGCUGAUGGAGGUCAUGAAAUUACUGAUGAGUCAGCAAUUAAUGAGGCUAUUCAAAUUAUUUUCAAAAUUUAUUCACAUCGAAGUGAGUAGGGAAUUUAUCCCAUCUGCUAGAGGGUGUUAAGACUAAUAUUUCAUCCGACAUAAAUGAAGAUUUGCUAGUACCAUUUAAAGUAGAAGAGGUUUUUUCAGCUUUGAAAGGAAUGGGGCCUACUAAAGCGCCAAGUUGUGAUGGUUUUCCAGCAUUAUUUUUUCAGAGAUUCUGGCAUAUUGUAGGUAAGAAUGUUGAGAAAUUUUGCUUGGGAAUUCUGAAUGAUGGAAAAAUUUUUGAUUCUCUAAAUCUUACUGAUAUUGUACUUAUUCCAAAACUACCAAAACCCACAAGUCUAGCUAAUUUCAGACCCAUCUGCCUAUGCACAGUUUUACACAAAAUUGUGGCAAAAACAAUUGCAAAUCGGUUUCAGGAGGUCAUUAGAAGAAGUAUAAGGCCCAAAGUACUUUUGUUCUAGGAAGAUUAAUUACUGAUAACGUGCUAGUAGCUUACGAAAUCUUACACACGUUACGACAGAAACGAAUCGAAAAAAAAAGGGCUUAUGGUAGUUAAAUAAGAUAUGAGCAAAGCCUAUGAUAGAGUCGAAUGGUUUUUUUUUAAAGGAAGUUAUACUGAGAAUGGGUUAUGCAAAGGAAUGGGUGUCAUUGAUUAUGAAAUGCAUAUCCACAGUAUCUUACACAGUCAACAUUAAUGAAAGAAGAUGAAGGGUUUUUAAACCCACUUGAGAGCUCCGUCAGGGUGAUCCACUUAGUCAUUUUCUCUUUCUAAUAUGCAGUGAGGGACUCUCGUCUUUCAUAAGAAUAGCGACAACUGACGGUCUACUUAAAGGAGUAAGAGCAAGUCGAAGAGGGCCAGCGAUUUCCUAUCUACUGUUCGCAGACGAUUGUAUUUUGUUUGGCCAAGCGACAAAUAGAGGAGCAAGAAUAUUAAAAGGAAUUUUGGAAGAAUAUGAACAGUGCUCAGGACAAUGCGUGAAUUUUAACAAGUCAACGAUUUUCUACAGCUCAAAACAACAAAAAGGGACAAAGAAGAGGUAUCAAUAAUAUUAAGGGUAAGAUGCUCCACAAAUUUGGAAAAAUAUCUUGGCCUCCCUAAUGUGGUAGGCAGAAGGAAAAAUGAAGCUUUCCAGAAUCUAAAGGAUAAACUUAAUUCAAAGAUUGAUAGUUGGAGCACAAGACUACUGUCAUAAGGGGGUAAGGAGGUUUUUAUCAAGUCAGUGCUUCAAGCAAUUCCAGCUUAUGCUAUGUCAUGUUUUCUCCUACCAAAAUCUUUUUAUGGGGAGCUGGAAAAUAUUUUCGCUAAAUUCUGGUGACAAAAAGGGCAGGGAAGAAAAGGAAUACCCUGGUGUCAAUGGAGAUAUAUGUGCUGAUCAAAAGAAGAAGGGGGUACGGGUUUUAGAAAUCUGUUGCAAUUUAAUAUCUCACUACUAGCAAAGCAAGGAUGGAGGAUCAUAAUAAUCAGGAUUCGUUGGUUACGCAAGUUUUUAAAAUAAAAUAUUUUCCCAAUGAGUAUUUUUUAAAUUCUUGAUUUGGAAAAACUAGCUCUUAUAUUUGGAAAAGCAUAUGGGCAGCAAGAGGUAUUUUAGAAAAAGGUAUAUGCUGGAGGGUUGGCACAGGUUCAAACAUUUCUAUUAAUGAUGAUGCGUGGAUUCCAGAUACUGUUAAUUUUAGAUUAUCUUCAGUUGUUAAUACUAUGCGAGAUGCAAAGGUUAGUGAGCUGAUAAAUAGGAAUGCGAGAAUAUAGGAUAGAGAACUCAUCAAUAAUACCUUUUCAACGACCGAUGCUGGGAAAAUCCUCCAGAUACCUUUAGCACGCACACCUCAUGAAGAUCUGCUUGUAUGGGGAGGUGAACAUUCAGGGGAAUUCUCGGUACACAGCGCCUAUAAACUAUUACAAAAAUCUAAUGAAAUUCCAAGAGCUUAUCCUUUACAAACCAACUACGGGAACUUUUAUAAGAAAUUAUGGCGCCUAAAUCUACCGACUAAAAUAAAGAUUAUAGUAUGGAGAAUUUUUUGGAACUAUUUUCCUAAGAAGGUUAAUAUGCAACACUGGAAACUUGUUAGUUCAAACUAUCCCUGAAGUGGAAAAAGAAAUGAAACAAUCGAUCAUAUCUUCCGAGAAUGUCUUGUCACAGUGGAAGUUUGGGCACUAUGAAAACUUCAAAAUAUUCUUAUGAAUCCAAACAUGGAUUUUUUUAUAGUGGAUUACCUGAGACUUUGGAUAGUUCACUACAUGCUAGAAUAUACUUUUCUACUGUAGUCUCUGGGCUAUCUAGGGCGAAAGAAAUAAAAGAAAAAUGAGCAAAGAAUUAGUACAGGUCAAGAAAUAAUGAACUUCAUCAAUAAUUAUCUUGCUGAACUUAAUGGUCUUGAUAAGAUGAAGUCAAAAAGAGAGAAGAAAAAUAAAAGAUGGACCCAUCCACCUAAUGAGUUCGUCAAAAUUAAUUUUGAUGGUGCCUAUGAUUUGACUCAUGAAUAAUCUGCCUCAGGAAUAGUAACCAGAAAUAAAGAAGGAGCUGUUUUACUCACUUGCUCAGAGGUUCACCACGAAGCAACUUCUGCCUUUACAGCUGAAGCAAUCGCGUGUAGAAAAGCGGUCCAAAUAGCAGUCGAACAGGAAUGGCCGAAAAUUAUUAUAGAAGGUGAUUCCCUCACAAUAAUAAAGAAAUGUUUAUCAAAGAGUCAAGAUCGAUCAUGUAUUGAAGCAUAUAUAUAUAUGAUAUUAAGCAGAAACUAAAUAGAUCUAGGGGUUCAAUGUUAAAACACACACCAAGAUUGGCAAAUGCUCUCGCGCAUAUAGUGGCAACAGAGUUGCUGAAAAGGAAAUAAGAACUGUACCUGGUAAUGGAAGUCCCAGAAUAUGCUAAAGAACAAAGACAGAUCGACCGAAGAAGGGAACUAGAUUGAGGAGAGAAUGAAGAAGAAAAGAAUAAGAGGAAAGAAAAAGAAAGAAGAUGCAUCAGUUUGAAAAGAACAUCUUUCCAUAAAAAUUGAACCGUCAAAAGCAAAGAAAAGAAAUGAAGUCUCCAGAUGAAUAGACAGGGUUCAGAAGUUCUGUUUGGGCAUUAAUUAGGCGUAAUAAUUAUGAAUCUCUAGACUGUUUCGAUUAAAAUAUCUAGAUUUUCUUAGCUUUUUGGGCUCCUUUGUAUUGGGUCGUUUUAGUAGAUUAGCUUUGCUUAGCUGUUUUCACUGUUAGGUUUUGUAAUUCAUUUUCCAAUAAUAAGCCCAGUCUGAAAGUUUC
RNAcentral lists this long non-coding RNA (6681 nucleotides) under Gossypium barbadense (sea-island cotton). Its description in RNAcentral is "long non-coding RNA (GBAR_LNC011712)". The record is from RNAcentral. Lineage: Eukaryota; Viridiplantae; Streptophyta; Magnoliopsida; Malvales; Malvaceae.